Neofelis nebulosa (Clouded leopard) is the source of this 1227-nucleotide long non-coding RNA. RefSeq lists it as uncharacterized. Lineage: Eukaryota; Metazoa; Chordata; Mammalia; Carnivora; Felidae. The transcript is spliced from 3 exons. The record is from RefSeq and is a predicted model, not a curated record.
AUCCCGCGCUUCCCCAGGAAACAAUCAGAAUAAUUUCCAACUGGGCAGAAAGGAAAUGGAAUUUCAAAUGAAAGAUGAACAAGGGGGCUUUGAUGGCAAGGCCUCAGGGACGCGCGCGCGCCCUCGCCACCCUUUUCCUUUCCACCCACAGACUCUCAGCACGUUGAGGUGGCGGGCCGGGCGGCAGCUUCUCCCCUCCUUCUCGCCCGCGGGCGGCCGGGGCAGCCUCGCCACCCGGCGCGCGCGGGCCCUUUAAGAGCUACACCAGCCGAGAUGCAGUUUGACAUCAGCCGGCCGGCGAGGGCGCGCCUGGAGCCGGAGCACGUGCCAGGAUGUUUUAUUGCCGCCGCGGCUGCGGUCGGGCCGGGAGGAUGUGUGUGUGCGUGCGUGUGUGAGUGUGUGUGCGCGCGCCCCGGGGGCAGGGAGGCGGGGGGCGGCGGCGGGCGGCGGAGCGCGGGGGCUGGUUCUCGGUCCCCGGGAGAAGCCAAGAAGCCUGCCAGAGCCGAGGUAGCUGCCCUGCCAAGAGCUAUCCUGGGAGAGCUAUUGAAAGAGGCUUGAAGCAGAUGGGCCUGGAGCUUCCCCACCUUCUGGUUUGCACUAGGUUGUGUGCUAAUAUGGCGAUGCGACCAGGGGACUUUGCACCUGCCAAGCAUGGCCGAGAACAUCCAUCUCCCUUGGACAUGUGAAUGCAAAGAAAGCAAGUGCUGUAAUCUGAAAUCCAGGCCAUUGUUUAAUGGCAGAAGGAAGACCCCAAAGGAAGGAGCUUUUUCCCACCCCAAAUACUCGCCCCUCUGGUCUUGAAUUUGACCGUGUUCUUUUAUGGAAAACAACAACAAAACAAAACAAAAGCACACAAAACUUUUUUCUGAAUAGCUCAAAGUCAAGGUUUGCUGUUUGUUAUUUCCUUAAAAAAAUUCAAGAAAGAAAAGAAAAUUGGGUCCCUAGCCUGAAUGUUCUCCUAUGUGCCUAUUUAAUGAUUAAUAAUACCUUGUGGGCUAUUGUUUGAUGUGGCCUCUGCUGGUUUGAACAGGAGAAUACUGAUUCACUCUCAAGGCAUUUAUGAAUCACAAGUGUUUACCCUGAGACAAUAAAUGAAAGGGGGAGAUUGAAAAAAAACACCCAAAUAUGCUGAGUUCUUUGAGCAAAAACUGGGGGUAAUAGUCUUUGAUACCCUGUGUGGUGCCCACUGUUUUCUUUCACAGAAUAAAGAUGGUGUAGAAUGACCAA